This 229-nucleotide ribosomal RNA is filed under the name uncultured bacterium. RNAcentral's name for it is "partial 16S ribosomal RNA". It matches the Rfam family "Bacterial small subunit ribosomal RNA", at positions 103 to 334 of the family's 1533-position model. The record is from RNAcentral.
CGGGUGAGUAACACGUGGGAACGUGCCCUUUGGUUCGAACAACUCAGGGAAACUUGAGCUAAUACCGAAUGUGCCCCCAUCCUUAAACAAGAUGGGUGGGAAAGAUUUAUCGCCAUUGGAGCGGCCCGCGUCUGAUUAGCUAGUUGGUGGGGUAAAGGCUCACCAAGGCGACGAUCAGUAGCUGGUCUGAGAGGAUGAUCAGCCACACUGGGACUGAGACACGGCCCAG